RNAcentral lists this ribosomal RNA (372 nucleotides) under uncultured bacterium. RNAcentral describes it as "bacterial SSU rRNA". It matches the Rfam family "Bacterial small subunit ribosomal RNA", at positions 527 to 896 of the family's 1533-position model. The record is from RNAcentral.
GGGGGGAGCAAGCGUUGUUCGGAUUUACUGGGCGUAAAGGGCGCGUAGGCGGCGUAACAAGUCACUUGUGAAAUCUCCGGGCUUAACCCGGAGCGGCCAAGUGAUACUGUUGUGCUAGAGUGCGGAAGGGGCUACUGGAAUUCUCGGUGUAGCGGUGAAAUGCGUAGAUAUCGAGAGGAACACCUGCAGCGAAGGCGGGUAKCUGGGCCGACACUGACGCUGAGGCGCGAAAGCCAGGGGAGCGAACGGGAUUAGAUACCCCGGUAGUCCUGGCCUUAAACGAUGGAUACUUGGUGUCCGGGGUUACAUAGUCCCCGGGUGCCGGCGCUAACGCAUUAAGUAUCCCGCCUGGGGAGUACGGUCGCAAGACUG